Molecule: microRNA precursor, 115 nt
Organism: Equus caballus (horse)
Lineage: Eukaryota; Metazoa; Chordata; Mammalia; Perissodactyla; Equidae
Source: Ensembl
AGCCCCAGCUCAGCCUGCUGAGCCAUGGAGAGGAGUCUCGUUUCCAUCAGUUCUUCUCGGGCCUCUGAGCUUGGAGUGAGAUGAGAUCUGCCCUGGAUCCAGUAGCCUGGGCCCU